RNAcentral lists this long non-coding RNA (2901 nucleotides) under Gallus gallus (chicken). RNAcentral describes it as "long non-coding RNA NONGGAT008787". Lineage: Eukaryota; Metazoa; Chordata; Aves; Galliformes; Phasianidae. The record is from RNAcentral.
UGAGAGCCCAAACAAUACGACAGUGAAACAGAUGGACAACUCAGGGAUCUACAAAGUGGUAACGUCCCCUCGCGUGCUGCGGCCCGGACAGGGCUCACAGCACAGCACAGCACACAGUAUCCACGCCAGCACAGUGCUUCCCCACCACCGUGGCAUGCAGCUGGGCAGGCAAUGCCCCGCAACGCCGAGCAGGUGACUGCUGUGCUGCAAAGCAGCGCUCUUCCUAUGGAAACCUGCUGAUCGGGGCUGCACCCGGCGCUGCAGCGGGACCACCACCCCUGCACGUCCAGCAGCAGCUGUCAGCUCGGCCCCUCUCAACAGGAUCUUCCCUUCAAGCUUUGAGCCACAGCGAGCAGUGCCCCACGUCCCGGCUCUGCCCUGCUCCCUCCUGCCUGUUGCUGGGGAGAAAGGACCAGGGGGAGCCUUCCUGCGUGAGCUGCUUCCCACUGCCGCUGUAGAAACUCACAGGGCCUCUGCUGCAGCGCCAGGUAAGCACAGGCCAGCGGGUGUUGGCUGACAGUGCAUCUCCUCCAGCCCCAGCAAACCUCCAGCUGUGCCUGGCUAAGCCACGAGCACGUGCCAGUAACGCGGCAAAGCCCAGCCGAGGAGACGGUGGCUGUCCCCGAGCUCAUGGGUAAUUAAGGACCCUGCAGCUACUGCUGAGAUGGAAGCAAUAACAGUUUCAGUGGAUGGCAGCUGCGGUGCGGAGCUGAAAAGCCACCCAGGACCCCACGUGUGCAGCAGGACAGGCGGCAGGUGACCAUCCCCAGGGCUGGGGAUGACGAGCCUUUGUCUCCAGAAACCCAAACCAAAGGACCGGCAAGCACGAGGCGAGACACGACGCCACAAAACCUUCCGUCAGCUCAUCUGCUCACCAGCACUAUAAAAGUAGGUCAGUGCCACAGCGAGCCCUCGCCUCCGAGCGAGGUGGGAGCCCUUCUCCCAGCAGUGUCACCAUCUCCCCCAUACCGUUACCCGGUGAAUUCGGGUGUGCAAAGCUACACCAAAACACAAACCAACAUGAAACGCAACGAGUGCCGCUUUCACACGUACACACACGCACAGUAGAGCAGGGCAAGGUACACGUGGCAGGCAGGACCCAGCAAUCCUGCACUAGCUGCUGCCCGUUUCUUUACAGUAGGUUGAAACACACGGAGGAGCACAGUUCGGUCGUUGCAGUGGGUCUGCCUGCCCCAUGCCUGCCCCAUAGCUGCUGGGCUGUGUGCAGUGGCCAGAGAUGGAGCCCAACGCUCAGCUCCUGCCACAGCAGUGGGAGCCUCGAGGAACAAAUCUCACACUCAUUUCCUUUUAAAGGGGUUUUUCGAUUCAACAGCCUCGAUAGAAUUGAAAAGAAGAAAGAAAGAAAGAAAGAAGAAAAAAAAAGGGAUGUGCUUAUACACCAUCUCCCACGCUGCUGCUGCUGCUAGGCAACGCUACGCAGUCCUACAGCAUCGGCUCAGGUCAACCAAAACCACAGGAGUAGAUGGACACAGCGAUGUGAGCCCGAGCUGAGCCCUGCCCCAGCUGUGUGCUGGCAGCUGGGAGGCAGCGCUGUGGGAAGGGGCAGUGGGAGCACACACACAGCCUGCACGGCCUCCUCCUCCCCUCUGCUCACUGGGAGGAUUUCGUUAAAUCAAAGCCAGCAGAGCAGCCCAGCCCUGAGCUGCAGCAGGGAGCGCUUUCUCACCUUGCUUCCCAUCAGCCCAGCAGCAGGGCAGAGCAGGACCCGUCCCAGCAGGACCACGUGGCUUCUCCAAACCUUUCUGAGCUGCUAAAGCUGGGAAAGGUUCAAAAGCACCCCUGUCCUCCAACAGCACAUUCUGAAAACGCUUGCAGAGCCUGCCCACAGGGGUGGGAGCCAAGCGGACUCCCCAGAGCUUCGGUCCCUUACCCUGAAGGCCAGAGAUGCGUGCUCUUCCACACGGCAGGCACGCCCUAUUCCCCAAGCCUCAACCUACUCCACACUGCCUCCGUGUGAGAGCAUCCCCUCAUCCUGGCAGCAGCGAGAUGUGCCAACAAGCAAAAGCCAGGCCAAACAGAGCCCUGGCGCAGGGCGCCCUGCUGCCCAACAAAGAUGAAGAACCCACCCAGCUUCACACGCUGCCCUCUUCCAUCUGUAGCCUCCACUGCAGCACAGGACCACACCACACAGCAAAGCUCAGCCUGCAGCAACGCCCUGCUGGGGACAGCGUGCAUCCCAUAGAGAAAUGAAUGCCUGAGCAGGGAAUGCUCCCAAAGCAGACAGCAAGGACAACUUCCUACAGCCUGCAGGUGGUCAGCAGCUCUGUUACAGCCUCACAGUCCCUAUGAGAAGUGCUGGGUGGCUCAGCUGGGCACGACGGCAGCACAGUCCGGGCAGGACAAAGGCAGAGCAGAUGAAGCAGCCCACGCUAUCUCAGGGGUGCAGUGUGACAGAUGGAUGGGCAGGCAGCUGGACUUGCAGAGCCCCUGGCUGCGGCUCCAGCCGCUACGCCGAUGGAUCACUUCACAGGCAACGGCUCAUCUUCCUGGGAGAGGGCAGAGUGAUGCGAGUCGGAGUUGGCACGCAGUUCCUGGCUCCUGGUGUGCAGUCCCUGGGACGGACAGAGGUCCCUCCGAGCGUGGCUAGAAGUUAGAUUUGGAGUGUCCAAAUAUGCAGAUGGGAAAGUGCUUGACAUGAGAGGACCACUGUGCUGCCAGCUGAAAGAACUUGACGUCGUUCCACUCCACCCCGUCGAUCAGGACUGCAGGGGAAGGUUAAAAAAUAGAACAAUAAAACGGGUGAGUUAGAAAACAGCGAGUGUUAAGUGGGCAACCAGAAACAGCUUUGCUAGGAAGCUCCUUGCAGUCAGCAGAGGGAGGCCUGGCUACAUUCUGUGCUCAGGGUGUGAGCUGCACUGCUGGGCCAACCCACCGCCGUCG